UACGUAGGGGGCAAGCGUUAUCCGGAUUUACUGGGUGUAAAGGGAGCGUAGACGGUGUGGCAAGUCUGAUGUGAAAGGCAUGGGCUCAACCUGUGGACCGCAUUGGAAACUGUCAUACUUGAGUGCCGGAGGGGUAAGCGGAAUUCCUAGUGUAGCGGUGAAAUGCGUAGAUAUUAGGAGGAACACCAGUGGCGAAGGCGGCUUACUGGACGGUAACUGACGUUGAGGCUCGAAAGCGUGGGGAGCAAACAGG
RNAcentral lists this ribosomal RNA (253 nucleotides) under Blautia wexlerae DSM 19850. RNAcentral describes it as "partial 16S ribosomal RNA". It matches the Rfam family "Bacterial small subunit ribosomal RNA", at positions 524 to 776 of the family's 1533-position model. Lineage: Bacteria; Bacillati; Bacillota; Clostridia; Lachnospirales; Lachnospiraceae. The record is from RNAcentral.